Lycium barbarum (goji berry) is the source of this 4730-nucleotide long non-coding RNA. RefSeq lists it as uncharacterized. The record is from RefSeq and is a predicted model, not a curated record. NCBI's taxonomy places the organism in Eukaryota, Viridiplantae, Streptophyta, Magnoliopsida, Solanales, Solanaceae. The transcript has 4 exons.
AGAUAUUUCUGGCCGGCUUUAAUUGCUUAUAGCAAGAGAUGUAGAAUAUUUUUGGGUGCCAGUUGAUCAAAUCAUGAGUGACUCAAGUUGAUAUUUGAGUCCAUUUAACUGUGCAACAGCCAAUCACAGCUUGCAACUAUAUGUUUUAUUUGUUUGUUUUGUUUAAUUUGAUGAAGAUAUCUCUUCAUACCAAUGGAAGGACCUAACUCUGAUUCUCCGGUGAAGGAACACACUACUAAAAAAUCACUAUUUUUCCGCUGAAAAAUGUUUAGCAACUAUUCCCACUGAAUGUCGGUGGAAAAAAUCUAAAUGGUAGUGUUUUCAAAAUCAGGACGUUUCUCCGAGUUUCAAUGAGAACCUGUUUCCCACCAUGUGUUUUCUCAGUGAGCUGAUUCGGUGGAAAUGAGAUGGGAAAAUCAUAUUUUAUAACACAAAUUUCCAGCUGAAUGCCGAUGGGCAAAACCUAUGUUUCUGGUGGUGACAAAUGAUGACUACAAACUAUAAUGUUUGGUGUGUCAAGUUCCAGUAGAACAACAAUGAUCACCUUCAGAUGAAGUUAAUUGGUGUGUCAAGUUCACGUAGAACAACAAUGAUCACCUUCAGAUGAAGUUAACUUUCAUUCUUCCUAAUUGCAUUGGAGAUAUUAAGUAUGGCCUAACUUCUUCAUUGAUUCACUACAAAAAAUUUUGAAAAUCAAAGAUGUUCUAUUGCAAUUUGGUUGAUUUGAGGAGAAAGUUUCUUUAAAUUUGCCUACUUCUGAACAGGAAGAGUUUCCUUUUGGAAAAAAAUCUAUAUCAGUAGAGCAUAUGAUGUCGAUAGACCAAGGUAAAGCACUCAAUGAGCUAGGGUGGCCCCAUUUCGCCUUACCAACCUCAGGGAAACUCCUAAUACAGGCCUAUAAUGUUUGUGCGGACUUUUUGGGUGCCUUGAUAAAAUCUGCAUUAUAGCCUCAUUUUUUAGUAGUGAAGAGCACUAUAUAUUAUCAUGAAGGAGAUAAGGAAAAGGACAUGUAAAUGAUGUCUGUAACAAUAUCGAAUCACUGAUCUUUGGCAUUGAGGAAGAAGGAACAGAGAAAACGUGUCCUAUCUGAUAUGGGAUUAGGGGAUGAGGAAAAAUUCCCACGGCUGCCUGUCUCUCUAUGACCAAAAGUGUGCCCUUGUUGCAAGGAUAAAGGACCAUUUAUGUCCAGCGUUAUAAAAUAGAGGACCUAAAUGAGCCUACCAUUAAAAUUAAGGGACUAUUCAGUGAUUUUGCAGCUGUAUUGCUAAUGAUCAGACAUUGAAAGGUUAGUUGCCCUUAAUUACUUUUGUCAUUUGAUUAAACUUAUAGCAAAACAACACUUGUAGUGGCUUAUCAAAGUAUAAUUUGGCACCAUGCACUAAUGAAUUAUCUGUAGGUGAUUUAUCAGCUGAGAGCCUCAAACAUGAAAAAGAGACUUUAAAAGGUAAUUUACUGUGCAUAUUAUAAUGUUGCUCAUGUAUAGUUGAUUGAUUGAUUCAGUCGAACAAAGCGAACUUCGUAUCCAAUAAUUGUAGAAUCACGGCAUCCAUUUGCAUUCGAGCAGUACAGAAGUAUCGAAAAUUUUGUGGGUGAAGGAAAAUUAUAUCAAAUGAAAUGACAUGGGAUAGAUAGUUUUGUAACACCUCAUACCUUUAAACUAGGCUAUGAUUCAUGAUUUGGGACUUAGAAUAUCAGACGGGAAGUGUUGGAAUUUAAGUUGCUGCCGUUCAGCAAAAUCCCAUUUUCACGACCAUCUAUACGGACCGUAUAUUAUUAUACGAUCCGUACUUUCAGGCCGUGUUUAGUAGGUGGAAAAAUCCCAGUUUCUACCAAGUUUUUGAAAUGCUUCGAUACGGACCGUAUAAUGUUAUACAGACCAUAUUUUCAGUCCGUGAAACUCGUUUGGGAAGUCCCAGAUUCUGGAAUUUUAUUUAUUGUUAAAUACGGUCAGUUUAUACGGACCGUAUAACUUUAUACGGACUGUAUAAGUUGACCAUAUAAUUUCCUGACUCAGUUAAGUAUAAAUAUGUCAUGUUCAGUUCUUUUCCCACUUUUCACAGUCUCCAAGCCCUAGAAUAAAGGUUUUCUUCUCCCAUCCAAAACAUCAAGCUAAGCCUAUUCCAAUCAUUUCAAGUCAAUUCUAACAUGUAGUCAUGUGAUAUAAUGAGAGUUCAUCAUUCCUAACCUAGGAUUUUCAAGAAAACCCAUUUAAAGGGUUCAAGACUAAAGCUUUAGGGAUUCUCCUUCAAGUUCAGAUUAUUGAUACAAGUUUUGGAGCAUUACCAGUUAUGUAGGGUUCUAUCUACGUGUGGGAACGUCUUUGUUCUCCCCCACACCACGUUCUUCCAUGAUUAUGCAAGAGUUCACUAAACUAGGGUUUUUAGCCAAAUUCAUGAUAACCCCAAGUCCAUGCACCAUGAUUACCAUGUUUGAAAUGUAUAUAUCAGUUGUUGUAUUCCUAAUCUUCCAUUUGGCUAUUGGGAAUCUGUCCAUAAUCCAUGAAAACCCAUACAUUGCAUUCCAUGGGUUCCUACAUGCAAGUCAUUUAAUAUUAUGCUUACUUUCAUGAAUAUCCUACAUGUCUACACGUUUAUAUAAUCUUUAUCCAUGAUUAUGAAACAAGAUGUCCAUGUUAUACUACAAGUCAUAUUUUUACGAAAUUCAUGGGCUUCUCAGCCAACUAUAUCAUGUUCAUGUUUUUGGGAGUUGCGCAGAUUACCGAGAAAGUUUUAUACCUGAAACUAUGUAUGCCAACGUAGGAUAAGGAUCGCUCUGCCCAGUAGAACGAUUCCUUCAUAUAUUCCCCAUUGAGGGAUAUGGAUCCAUUCAUGUCAUGUUCAUGUCUUGUACCCCAGCAAGGUACAAGAUGGCUUAGCUGAUUGGGCAGAGAUCAGACGCCACGUGUUAACGUGGUGAUUACAUGUCAGUUAUACUAAUGCUCUCCCACAGAUACUUUUACUCAUGUUAUAUAUAUAUAUAUUAUAUAUAUAUAUGUAUUCAUGUUCAUACUCAUGACCAGAUUUAAGUUUCAGUUUCAGCUCUUAUCAUGUUAUUUCACGUACCAUGCUUAUUUCAUUCAGUUGUUUUACAUACCAGUACAUUCAAUGUGUUGACAUCCCUUUUCUACUGCCCGGGGGCUUGCAUUUCACGAUGAAGGUAGGAUUUAUAGGAUGCUGCAUCUGCUCAGUAGGAUUUGCUCGUAUCAGCUUGUUGGUGAGCCCCCAUCUUAUUCGGGGUGUUAUCCUUAUUUAUUUUCAUGUCAUGUUUAGCAAGUUAAAGUAUGUUGGGAGCCUUGUCCCAGCAAGUAUGUUUUACAGUUCAGAUUCAUGAUAGAGGUUUCAUAGACUAGUCAGUCAGUUAUGUCAUUACUUAGAGUUGUGUAGCCAUCUUGGCUUAGUUCAUGAUAUUUCCGCAUUCAUUUUUUUUAUACAAGUAUUUUAUUAAAUAUAUUAUGACUUCUCAUCUUUUGUUAAGGCUCAUCAUGUUUCAUGUUAUAUUCCGCUCAUGUAUAUGUCCCAUGUUAAUUCAGCAAGUCAUGUGGUUUGCUCGGUCACAUGCAGUCAGACACCAAGUGUCGUGUUACGCUCAGGUCAUGGUUCGGGGCGUGAAAAGUUUGAAGAGAUUUUCACACAUAGUUUUUUUAUAGUAACCGGUAGGUCUACCUCCUAGGCGCUGUUAAAUAGGAGUAUUCCCUAAUCUUAAUCAAAUUCAAAGAGUAAUAGAUUAAAAGAUUAUACUGCCGAAGUGUAAAAUCAUGUGUAGUAACAUAACUGACCUGAACAUGAAAUAAACUCAAUGAAUAAACAAGGGUACCAAUUUAAGUUUCAAAGCGAAGACUAAUAAAUUACUAGAUCAAAGCACAAAUGCUAUUAAGAACUGGUGAAUAGCGAGGACUAAUAUAUUACUUGUCUUAUUUAGUUUAUGCCUGCCUUUUUUGCAAAUCUGUGUAUCACGUUAUCUGUAAUACCAUUGACCUAUUGAGCUUUGAGAAAAGUAAUGUUUCUGGGGAAAUGACAGAUUUGGAAGUACAGGUAAAAUUAGUUGCAAAUGCUGUAGAAUACACAAUUCAACUGAGAUUAACAGAAACUGUAAUGGCAACAACUAAAAGCCAGACAAAAAAGGCACAUUGGAGGUUUCGUCGCAGCCUGCAACAAGUAGCAGAGGACAUUGAUCGUGUCUGGAAAGAUUCAAGAUAAAGGUAAACAAGCAUCAACGGGAUUUUUGGUUAAAGAUUCUUCAAGUUCAGCAAAGAUGUUCUGAAUGUUAAGAACGAUAUGGUUGGACGUGAUGCACAAAGGGAAAGGUUGUUAGAAGAUCUAACUAGAGGCUAGUCUGGCGAACCCAAAGUCAUCUCGAUUGUCGGGAUGGGAGCCAUAGCACAAUGUAAAGGAAAUCUUGCUAAGCCUUCUACGUUCUACUAUCAAAAUGGAUGAAAUAUGAGGCGGAGCUAGCAGACAUGUUGCAGAAAUGUUUAAAGGGCAAGAGGUACUUAAUUCUCAUGGAUGACAUAAGAAUUAGUAAAGUGUGGGAUGACGUGAGACAAUGCUUCCUAGUCAAAACAACGGCAGUUGAAUAUUGUUGAAUACCCAUAAUAAUGAAGUGGCUUGUUAUGUUGGUACAAAGAAUCUUUCUUUAAAUGUGAAAAGGUGUCAUCUAUUUUCAUGGGAUGCAUCCAUUCUUUGAAAAGGUGUUGUUGUUCAUUUUUAACUCAUUAUAAAUGUUAUUCCUUC